UACGGAGGGGGGCUAGCGUUGUUCGGAAUUACUGGGCGUAAAGCGCGCGUAGGCGGACCUGCAAGUCGGGGGUGAAAGCCCGAGGCUCAACCUCGGAACUGCCUUCGAUACUGCGGGUCUCGAGUCCGGGAGAGGUGAGUGGAAUUCCUAGUGUAGAGGUGAAAUUCGUAGAUAUUAGGAAGAACAACCAGUGGCGUAAGGGCGG
This 205-nucleotide ribosomal RNA is filed under the name uncultured bacterium. RNAcentral's name for it is "partial 16S ribosomal RNA". It matches the Rfam family "Bacterial small subunit ribosomal RNA", at positions 524 to 724 of the family's 1533-position model. The record is from RNAcentral.